GUGCAUUUCCUAUAAACCUUUAUUGCUACUAUUAUUAUUAUUAUUAUUUUGGUGAUGUGAAGGUCUAUUGUUUUGAGUGGAUCUAGAUAUAUGAUAUAUGAUGCUAUAAUUAUAUUGGGUGAUUUUGUUAUGGUGACAUGAGUAGCAGUUCUCUUGUAGAUUUAGUAUGAUUCAAAUGAUUAAUUAAUUGAUCUUCAUAAAUGGCCGUUGCAUUGACUUAAUAUCUUCUUUUAAUCUGUAUAGAUUGGUUCUGUGCGUGAUUUAGCUGAUGUUUAUGUACCUUUUGUUGUGUUGAUGUGGACAGGCGUUCUUUUGUAGAAUUAUUGUGCAAAUUUGAAGAUGAAUCACUUAAAUCUUCAUAAGAACGCCAGUGCCUCCUGUGAUGAGACUAGAGGCUUGGUUUCAAUAUAUGAUUCCAAGGGUUCUGUUGUUUGCCCCAAACCCCGGCGAGUUGGAAUUCUGGCUAAUAAUCCCAUCAGGCCUUUGAGAUGGCACAUGAGUCAUCAAGCAGAGAUGUGUGAUUCAAAAGCUGGGGCUGAGCUUUUGGACAUUAUCCUCAUGAAGGAUGGUCAUGGGGCUGAACAAUCUGCAACCUAUUUAGCCUCAUCACCCCCCUUUUUUUGUGGGUCUCCUCCUACCAGGGCUGCUAACCCAGUCAUCCAAGAUGCCCGAUUUGGAGAUGAAAAACUUGCUCUAGUUCCACCAUUGUUGAUUCCAUCACCUUCAAGUUUAUCAUCUCCAACGUCACGCAAAGGAGAGUGCAUGAGAAUGAAGUUUGGGCUUAAACCAGCUGCAGUUAGAGUAGAAGGAUUUGAUUGCCUCAAUAGGGAUCGCCAAAAUUCCAGUAUCCCUGCUAUGGCUUAGAACUCAUAAAAAUUAAGUGUACAUAGAAGGAAGCUAAGUCGCCUCCAGAGUCACAAAACAUAGCAGACUUAAAAAGAGGGAAUUUUGUAUCUUUUUGGAGAGUCGAGAAUUGCUACAAGUAGUGUAUAUAUGAUAUGUUUUAGCUGAUGAUCAUUGCUAAUAUCUCAGUAAGUAGUUUGAUUGAAGAAAGAAGUGAAAGGGCAAACCUUGUGUUCUUAAGAGAGGUUUGAAUGUGUUUGAGAGCUUAGCUCUUUUGUAAUGUAAGAUAAGAGGGUUAGUAUUUGGGAGGGUCUUUUGAUUUCAUUCAGUGAUCACCAUGAAAAAAUUUCUGUAUAGUGCCUAUUGGUGAUUGAAUUUUGGUCAUUUACCCUUGUAAAUGUAAUUCGGUGAUUGUUAAUGGCAUGGUCCGUUUUUU
RNAcentral lists this unclassified non-coding RNA (1279 nucleotides) under Hevea brasiliensis (rubber tree). Lineage: Eukaryota; Viridiplantae; Streptophyta; Magnoliopsida; Malpighiales; Euphorbiaceae. The record is from RNAcentral.